GAUGAAGAACGUAGCAAAAUGCGAUAAGUAAUGUGAAUUGCAGAAUUCAGUGAAUCAUCGAAUCUUUGAACGCACAUUGCGCCCGCCAGUAUUCUGGCGGGCAUGCCUGUUCGAGCGUCAUUUCAACCCUCAAGCCCUCGGGUUUGGUGUUGGGGAUCGGCGAGCCUUUCUGGUAAGCCGGCCCCGAAAUCUAGUGGCGGUCUCGCUGCAGCCUCCAUUGCGUAGUAGUAAAACCCUCGCAACUGGAACGCGGCGCGGCCAAGCCGUUAAACCCCCAACUUCUGAAUGUUGACCUCGGAUCAGGUAGGAAUACCCGCUGAACUUAAGCAUAUCAAUAAGCGGAGGA
Molecule: unclassified non-coding RNA, 346 nt
Filed under: soil metagenome
Description: partial contains 5.8S ribosomal RNA, internal transcribed spacer 2, and large subunit ribosomal RNA
Rfam family: 5.8S ribosomal RNA (bases 1-120)
Source: RNAcentral